CCGGCACCGGUUCACCCCGGCACGCCCGUUCCGGCGUCCCGGGGAUCCGGCGGCC
Non-coding RNA from Saccharomonospora iraqiensis subsp. paurometabolica YIM 90007, 55 nucleotides. The record is from Rfam. NCBI's taxonomy places the organism in Bacteria, Bacillati, Actinomycetota, Actinomycetes, Pseudonocardiales, Pseudonocardiaceae.